GGAGGAGGGCGGAGAUAGGUGGUGGAGCGGGCUGGCGCGGGAGGCAGGAAAGGUGGGGUCCAUGGCGCUGCCCAUGGCCGCGAUGAGCGUGGCGCAGAACGCCGUGCAGGUGGCGUCCAACAUGAUGGUGGGGCACCUCCCCGGCGUCCUCCCGCUCUCCGCCUCCGCCAUCGCCACCUCCCUCGCCAGCGUCUCCGGCUUCAGCCUCCUCGUACGUCGUCAUCGCAUAUCCUGAUUUCCCCACUCGUUCACGCGUCCUCGAUUUGCUUAUAUCCAUAUUUGUUGCCUGCGUGAUUUGGUCUCAUUGGAUUAACUGUUUAGCACUUUAGCCAGAGAGGCACGUUUCACGGUUUCAGAUAUUGUUCAAUGUGGCGUUCAAAUUUAGCAGUAGGAGGACAGGCAAAAAGUUUAGCCGUACAAGCGGCUGGUUAGUUUGGAAGGGGGAUUUUGAUUGGAACAGUGCCUAAAAUUUUUGCUGGAAUACUGUUUGAACAUUUGGCGUGUUCCAAACAUUCUGAAAUAAAUCAUGGAUAUAGCAUAGUAAGUAGCAGAUUUUUUUUUUUUGGGUAUACAAGUAGCAGUUUGCAAACCUACAAAAUUUAAAAUCAACGUUCUCCUAAAUAUAGAGAUAAAUAACAAGUUACACUACUAGUCUACUACUCCACGCUGAAUGCUUUUCUAGGAUGAAUUUUAAAUUGCCUGCACAGAUGGUGAGCUAGUCAAUUGUCACGAUUUCAACUAGCUUUCAGAAUCUGCGAAGUGUGUACAGCCUAGAGGACUACUUCGAUACUCUGGCGAAAUAUUCUGUAGGAUUUUUUUUUUUUACUUUUCUCUUCAGUUGUACACGGAUUGCCUUUUUAGUUUGUGAUCUUAAUUUUGAAACCACCCAUAAUUUGAAUUUUGAACUUGUAAAACAGGUUGGAAUGGCAAGUGGAUUAGAAACUCUCUGCGGUCAAGCUUAUGGGGCAAAACAGUAUGACAAGUUAGGAGUGCAAACCUACAGAGCAAUAGUCACACUAACAGUAGUCACAAUUCCCAUCUCACUUCUAUGGGUAUUCAUAGGCAAACUCUUGACCCUAAUAGGUCAGGACCCCGUGAUCUCACAUGAAGCUGGAAGAUACAUAGUGUGGUUGAUUCCAGGACUCUUCGCAUACGCGGUCUGCCAGCCUCUCACAAAAUUUCUGCAGUCUCAGAGUCUAAUAUUUCCCAUGCUCUGGUCCUCCAUUGCAACUCUGCUCCUGCACAUCCCUCUGUCUUGGCUGUUGGUGUUCAAGACCAGCAUGGGAUUUACUGGAGCUGCUUUAGCAAUUAGCAUAUCUUACUGGUUGAAUACAUUCAUGCUCGCUGCAUACAUCAGAUUCUCAUGUUCUUGUAAGGUGACUCGCUCGCCUCCUACAAUCGAGGCAUUCAGAGGAGUCGGUUUGUUUCUGCGAAUAGCACUACCAUCUGCACUAAUGUUAUGGUAAUUACAGUAGCUUCAGAAUCUCCUUGUUUUAUAUGUAAGUAUUUCUUAUUUCCUGUUAAAAAAUUCCCACUUAUUGGAUUAAUGGAUUUUCUUCUAUUAUUUUGUAGUUUUGAAUGGUGGUCAUUUGAGAUCCUUGUUCUCCUGUCAGGACUUCUACCC
Molecule: long non-coding RNA, 1624 nt
Filed under: Oryza sativa (Asian cultivated rice)
Lineage: Eukaryota; Viridiplantae; Streptophyta; Magnoliopsida; Poales; Poaceae
Description: long non-coding RNA (OSAT_LNC001041)
Source: RNAcentral